GACGUAGGGAGCGAGCGUUGUCCGGAUUCAUUGGGCGUAAAGAGCGCGCCGGCGGUUUGGUAAGUCGGAUGUGAAAACCCGGGGCUCAACCCCGGGCGUGCAUCUCGAUACUGCCCGACUAGAGGUAGGUAGGGGAGAUCGGAAUUCCUGGUGUAGCGGUGAAAUGCGCAGAUAUCAGGAGGAACACCGGUGGCGAAGGCGGAUCUCUGGGCCUUACCUGACGCUCAGGCGCGAAAGCUAGGGGAGCGAACAGG
This 254-nucleotide ribosomal RNA is filed under the name uncultured bacterium. Its description in RNAcentral is "partial 16S ribosomal RNA". It matches the Rfam family "Bacterial small subunit ribosomal RNA", at positions 524 to 776 of the family's 1533-position model. The record is from RNAcentral.